Molecule: transfer RNA, 74 nt
Filed under: Minutocellus polymorphus
Lineage: Eukaryota; Bacillariophyta; Thalassiosirophyceae; Cymatosirales; Cymatosiraceae
Description: tRNA-Met
Rfam family: tRNA
About the family: Transfer RNA (tRNA) molecules are approximately 80 nucleotides in length. Their secondary structure includes four short double-helical elements and three loops (D, anti-codon, and T loops).
Source: RNAcentral
GUUAGAGAGGAGUAAUUGGUAAACUCGUUAGGCUCAUGCCCUAAAGAUUGUAGGUUCAAGUCCUACCUCUGACA